GGUGAACGCUGGCGGCGUGCCUAAUACAUGCAAGUCGAGCGAACAGACGAUGAGCUUUCUCCCCUGACGUUGGCGGCGGGCGGGCGAGUAACACGUGGAUCACCUUCUUAUAAUUCUGGGAUAACUUCGGAAAACCGCUGCCAAUACUGCCUCAUACAUCCAACCGCUUGGUUCAAUAGAUAUUGACGCCUUGCCCGUUACUUUUAGCCGAAUCCGCGCCGCAUUAGCUAGUUGGUAAGGUAACGGCUUACCAAGGCAACGAUGCGUAGCCGACCUGAGAGGGUGAUCGGCCACACUGGAACUGAGACACGGUCCAGACUCCUACGGGAGGCAGCAGUAGGGAAUAUUGGGCAAUGGGCGAAAGCCUGACGGAGCCAUGCCGCGUGAGUGAUGAAGGUCUUCGGAUCGUAAAGCUCUGUUGUUGGGGAAGAAAAGAAGUGUAAGAAAAUAUGCACGUCUUGACGGUACCUAAUCAGAAAGCCACGGCUAACUACGUG
RNAcentral lists this ribosomal RNA (497 nucleotides) under uncultured bacterium. RNAcentral describes it as "partial 16S ribosomal RNA". It matches the Rfam family "Bacterial small subunit ribosomal RNA", at positions 28 to 507 of the family's 1533-position model. The record is from RNAcentral.